Long non-coding RNA from Physcomitrium patens, 4834 nucleotides. RefSeq lists it as uncharacterized. The record is from RefSeq and is a predicted model, not a curated record. Lineage: Eukaryota; Viridiplantae; Streptophyta; Bryopsida; Funariales; Funariaceae.
GGCGGCGGGUCAAGACGUGCCCGGGAAGCAACGAGAAGGGGGGCCAAGUAUUUGAACAAGCGCGUCUUACUAAUUGAGCCAUUCGCUGAUCCUUCUCGACCAAUUCUGGAACCCUCCAGAUCUGGCCCUCGCCUUCCACCGCCCAGAAUUUGUCUUCAAGUCACUAUUUAUUCAGGGUUUGUCGUCGAUAUUGUCGCAAUUGUAGGUUGUUCUGGAACUUGUUGAUAGCCCCAGAGUCUGGCCGCUGGGUUUUCAGUGUCGCGGCGUGACAGCGGUUUCACGCUGUGGCGGAGAACGUUUUGGAGUUUUUAAUUCGCUCAAAGGAUCGACGUGCAUCAUUUUACAGGCUCUUUGCACUUUCGUCGACUUACUUCGUUGCGGUUUCGAGUUUUGUUAGUUGAUUGGUGGGUGGUGUUGGUGUGAUGCUUCAACGAUGGGUUCAUGGUGAUUGGCAGACAAAGGAGAUGGUGACGGAUGUGGAGAGGGUGUGGAGUUGGGUUGUGAAACUGAGUCGUCUGCGCGAGGGUGGAUGAGCAUUCUCGAUCGGACAGAUUACACAACAGGCUCAUCUGAAACCUUACUGAGUUGGGUUUUGGUUCUUCCCUCGUUUUGCGUUGGGAUGGUAUGCGUUUGCGUUAAGGGUGGUUCGGGUUUGUCUGACAGUGCAUAACUGCGUGUCGCUGGGAAUUUGCGUGGGACGUAUGCAAUGGCGGGCUUAAGCAGUCUUAGAAAUGACAUCCAUGGGCUGCACGGUGGGAGAUACCCGUCUCAGAGGCUAAUUUCGAGGAACUCUAAACGGUUAUUUGUAGUUUUGGCUUCACAUCUGCCAUGUUUUCUUGACGAGGCUACAAAUAUAUCAACCGAGUUCUUUGUUGAAUUUCCUCUGGAUGGCAGACAUCAUAUCUGCGAAGAGGCUUCGGCAGCGACCAUGGGCUGAACUGGGAUGGCCAAAUGGAGUAAUUUAAUUCGCUUGUGGUCCCCCCUACACACAUGUUUCAGAAGGCCUUCAUGUACCUCUGUUUGAUUUUUAUUUAGAGAUGUGACCACAUUUUCUGCAGUGAAGUUGUGGGUUUUUGAUGGCUUUGGAUGGCAGCGGAUCAGGUAGAUCUCUGAUCGAAUGACGGAUCGAGUGACUACCAGCAGUGGACGAUAGGCAUACCGAUUUCGAACUGGGAAAAAUUCAACAGGCUAUGUGGAUUCGAUUCUUUUGGAAUUGGCUUUCUUUUCCCUUGCAGAUCAUUUCAUUCGUUCGGUUUCAGUGAGUCCACUUGCAAACUGCUGCAUCCAGGCAGCGGGUUCCUACACCACGACUCUGUGGUUAUUAUCCGAUGUGGGUAGAGUUCAUUUGGCAGGCGUGGGUGGAGCAUUCGGGGUGUCUGGAUUCGCGCAUGAUUAUAUCGAAAACUGUGAACUUUGAAAUCCUUAGCAUACCUUGUUUAAAACUUAUCGUUUUUAAAUGACGAAUCACUUCCCACUGGUCUGUGCGUCAUUGAUGGUCCUGAAUGGCAGUGAUUCAGAUCUCCAACGGCAUCUGAAGAAAAGAUACUAAAUCAAAUAUUGACAGUCGAGCGUGUGGAGUAUUUUAAUUCGGUUGAAGACCAAACUCGAAUAGAUCGUCAACCUAAGGCUUUUCAUAACCCUUUAGUUUCAUCGGAAUUGAGUGCAUGCUUGCGCUGUUCAUUUCAUGCACAUGUCUUCUACAGCCGUUCACCAGUGAACUAUAAUUUAUUGGCAGUGAAUCUCGACAUCAAGACGGAAUGGGAAAUUUUCGCUGGAUGGAUGGUUUCUCGUGCAACCCCAAGUGGAGCAUGUGGAGUUAUUUAAUUCGCUUACGGUGUUUUCUUCAUACAGGAGUUCUUGUAACCUUUCACUCUGUUAGGUUUUUCAGUCUAUGAUUAAACAAAGAACUACAUUCUACAGGAAAGUCGUUCAAAUAUUUCUGAUGAUUCUGUAUGGCAGUGGCCGAAAUCCGUGCUGAUGCCGCAGUUAAAGUGCUCAGAUAACCGAUGGUUGUGGAGGGUGAAGAAUUUUAACUCAACUCGUGAUCAACAUUAAGUCAAUCAUCAGUUGACAUGCUCCUGAGACCUUCGUUUUCUCAUGGGUUGUGGGUGUAUGCUGGCACUGUUUUGCUGGAUGUGCUGAUUUCCUAUUCAGUCGUUCACCACUGCUUCUCGUGCGGUUGACAGUGGACGUUUUCUCAUCAGCUCAAGGAGCUACUUUCGUCGUGGAGAUUCUCUUGAGAAAAACAGGAUGGAGUUUCUGGAGUAUUUUAAUUCGCUCAUCGACCAGUCUUCUCCCAGGAGUUUUUGCAACCCCAUCGCACUCUGUUUGACCCUCCAUUGACAGAAAUAUCCUUCGCAGUGAACUAGUUUACAUACUGUUGAUGGUUUUGAUUGGCAGUGAGAAGAGUCUUCUGCUCCGGAGGUAGAGGUUAAGAGUUUCUCUGCACGAGAAAGGUGAACGGAGAAGUUUAACUCAUUUACCGAUUAAGAUCGAACGCGUCGUCAACCCGCAGGCUACCUGAAACCCUCUCUUUUCUCUGGGAAUUUUGUGUAUUAGCGCUGUUCUUUUGAUGUGUUUAUUCUCUGCAUAGAUUUUUACCCUUAGUCUCCCUCUGGGUGACAGUGAAUGUCUACGUACUAUUUCAAUGAGCGAUUCACACCACGUGGGGAGUAAACUAUCCAGACUGGGAUGGAUUCUUUGGAGGAUUCAAUUAAUAAUUGGAUCCGGUGAAAUCUGAACAUGGGAGUUGUUAUCUUUACUUUGACUUCUCGUUUUCUGGCUAUUUUUUGUAUCAUGAGCCGUUCGUAUUCUUCAACGCUGUCAUUUAUUAAUGAUGGUUUUCUAUAACAACGUUGUAGAACCUCAACUGUUUCGAUGACAGGUUUGGAGUAAAAGUUGGUUGUGAAUGCCAUCUGGAGUAUUUAAAGUUGACUUCAGCAUUAAUUCGCAUGUCUUCAUUCAACAGGCAAUCUGGAACUCUUAAAUUCUUUGGAUGUUAAGGGUCAGCACCGUCAUUUCUUGUUUAUCCCUGGAAGGGCAUUCGCCAGUGACCUAAUUUUCAUGCUAAUGAAUGUAGUUGACGUCAACUUAUUCGAAGUAACCACUUGGAGCAAUGUGCGUUGGACAUUUGAAGUAUUUUAAUUCGCUCAAGAUUGAACCUGCACACAGGAGUCUCCCACCCUUUCGAAUUGUUACGGACUUUCUUCAUUUCUAUGACCCGUUCUCCACAGAAAUGGUUCAUGUAUUUGUGAUGAUUCUGGUUUGCAGUGAUUGGCAUUCUCCUUUAAGAAGCCAUCCAUUUGUUACUUGCUAAUUAUGAAGGGACGGUGGAGACAUUUAAUUUGCAACUCCAAUCCGUCCGAAACGACAGGGCAUAUGCAACCUUUUCUUACAGUUUUCACUUUCAGUCAAUUGGGUACUUGUUCGCGCUGUUCCAGUAUUGCGUCUGUUUCAUGUGUAUGCGUUCACCAGUGAACUGCAAUUGGUUGGCAGCUAUUGUUUACACACCGAUGAUAUGGAAAAUCGACGCUAUGGAGUGGCAUUAGUAAACAGCCUUGGGGUCGACAAGCCCGAUUAGUAUAUUCGCACGCGCUUCUAUCUGCAUAGAGGAGUUUCACUCAAACCCUUUUCUACUCUACUUCGGUCCCUUCUCUUUUUCUGUGAACCACUACAUAGUUCAUAGGUUCAAACAUUGUAGAUGCUUCUGUGUGGUAGUGACCCAAUCUUUACAAUGUCCUGCUGACGAAGUGUUCAUAUAUUCGUUGAAAUUGGAGCAUGUGGGGAGUAUUUUAAAUCCAUUGAAGAUCGAAGCCGCAAUAAUCGUCAGUCUACAGGCUAUCUAAACCCUAUUUCUUUUCCAAAGUUUGAGAAUGCGGGUGCGUGCGUACCUACUGCAUGCCAACAAUUGUUACUCUCGCAACUCUCAUUACAAGCACGUUUCAAAAGCGUCAACUUUAUUUAAACAACCAUUUUGCUUUUUCAUGAUUAUUUUACUCACAUGCAGGCAUAUCUGUCAUGGACUUCUGAGCGGCGGUUGAAUCUCUGAAGGAUGUUUGGUUUCUGGUUUGUGACCAUUUGAUGCAGACCUUGGACAUGAGAUCUUCAACUAUAUGGAUAUUUUAUUUUCCACAUUUCUCCUCCGUUAAAUGUUCAGGUUUCGUGGAUCGCUAUGUUUGUAAUUUGCUUGAUUUGAAUUUUUGUUUGAUAUGAUUUGGAACAAUUCUGGUUAAUUUUUUGUUUGUUACAAUUUUGCCAGUAUACACCUUAUUCACUAUAUACGACUUGCUACCUGUAUCAACUUGUUUAUUUGUUCAACGUUAGUACCUACUGACUGCUGCAGACCACAUCUUAUUAGAUUAAUUAAUGUAGCAGCGUUCAUGAAGUCAUCGUUAGCAGAUAGGAGGGGAGUGAUGAGCAUGGAGUAUUAUUUUCCAACUGCGAGCGAGGCUGAGCUUUCCCUGAACUGUUGGUGGACACUUGAACCCCUGGAAAAGGAGGCCUGCUAAAUUUCUCAGCUGGUGAUUACGUAUACACAUUCAAAGCAAAAAUUAUUAUAAUGAAGAAAGUGCCUGAUAGACUCCUGAAAAGGUGAAGAAACGUGUACGCCAGUACAAUCCAUUACCUAUCCGGAAAAUUCCUACUAAACUGUUUUUGAACAGUUUCGAAGUUCGAUCGUACAUUUACGCACAUUUGCGAACAAAUUACAUCGGAAGUAGCGACAACAUGUUUCGCACAACACUGAUGUUAUAUUCACUAGUCUGAAAUUAUUUUAGAUAUUAUUGUACACUUUUCAAUUCUGUUCAUAAUUGAAAAAAUUACAUUCCCAUUGAAA